UUCUUUUCUAUGUGUGGAAGAGCCUGAAGAGAUGCUGUGUCAAGGAAGAGGAAAAAGUGUGCUUAGGAGUGAAAGAAGAAGGUGGGGGAAAAAAUAAGCACUGCAAGAUAAGAAGAAACAGGUGCAAAUUCAUUUUCAAGAACACGUCCUGCUCGCCUCCUAAACAUCAUCCUAAGUGCAGGCAAUAUCUCAUCUGACACGUGUCUUUCUGACGAAAAGGAAGGCUGAACGAGAAUAUCACAGCACUGUUGAUGAAUCCAUCAAGAAUAAUGCUUGGUGUGAUUUGGAGAA
This is a non-coding RNA of Meleagris gallopavo (turkey), 291 nucleotides long. NCBI's taxonomy places the organism in Eukaryota, Metazoa, Chordata, Aves, Galliformes, Phasianidae. The record is from RefSeq and is a predicted model, not a curated record.